UACCACAGGGAUAACUGGCUUG
RNAcentral lists this non-coding RNA (22 nucleotides) under Arabidopsis thaliana (thale cress). The record is from RNAcentral. Lineage: Eukaryota; Viridiplantae; Streptophyta; Magnoliopsida; Brassicales; Brassicaceae.